GGAAGUGAAAGUCGUAACAAGGUUUCCGUAGGUGAACCUGCGGAAGGAUCAUUAUUGUAUAACCGAGGUGCGAGGGCUGUCGCUGACCCGAAAGGUCGUGCACGCCCGAGUGCCCUCACACACAUCCAUCUCACCCCUAUGUGCACCACCGCGUGGGUCCCCCUUUGGCUUGUUCGGAGGGGGGCUUACGUUUUCACACAAACUUUGUAUGCAGUGUAGAAUGUAUUUUUUGUUUUUGCGAUCACGCAAUCAAUACAACUUUCAACAACGGAACUCUUGGCUCUC
This 285-nucleotide unclassified non-coding RNA is filed under the name plant metagenome. RNAcentral describes it as "partial contains small subunit ribosomal RNA and internal transcribed spacer 1". The stretch from base 1 to 54 matches the Rfam family "Eukaryotic small subunit ribosomal RNA", at positions 1778 to 1831 of the family's 1831-position model. The record is from RNAcentral.